UGAACGCUGGCGGCGUGCUUAACACAUGCAAGUCGCACGAGAAAUCCUUAGCUUGCUAAGGAAAGUAAAGUGGCGCACGGGUGAGUAACGCGUGGGUAAUCUACCCUCGAAUCUGGAAUAACUUCGCGAAAGCGGGGCUAAUACCGGAUAAUAUUAAUUGAUCUUCGGAAAUUUUGAUCAAAGGUGGCCUCUACAUGUAAGCUUCCGUUUGAGGAUGAGCUCGCGUACCAUUAGCUUGUUGGUAGGGUAAUGGCCUACCAAGGCAACGAUGGUUAGCUGGUCUGAGAGGAUGAUCAGCCACACUGGAACUGACACACGGUCCAGACUCCUACGGGAGGCAGCAGUGAGGAAUUUUGCGCAAUGGGGGAAACCCUGACGCAGCAACGCCGCGUGAGUGAUGAAGGCUUUCGGGUCGUAAAGCUCUGUCAAGUGGGAAGAAAAUGCAAAUUGAUAAUACCCUUUUGUACUGACGGUACCACUGAAGGAAGCACCGGCUAACUCC
This 502-nucleotide ribosomal RNA is filed under the name uncultured bacterium. RNAcentral describes it as "bacterial SSU rRNA". It matches the Rfam family "Bacterial small subunit ribosomal RNA", at positions 30 to 504 of the family's 1533-position model. The record is from RNAcentral.